Molecule: ribosomal RNA, 253 nt
Filed under: uncultured bacterium
Lineage: Bacteria
Description: partial 16S ribosomal RNA
Rfam family: Bacterial small subunit ribosomal RNA
Source: RNAcentral
UACGGAGGGAGCUAGCGUUGUUCGGAAUUACUGGGCGUAAAGCGCGCGUAGGCUGCUUUGCAAGUAGAGGGUGAAAUCCCGGGGCUCAACCCCGGAACUGCCUUCUAAACUGCAGAGCUAGAAUCCUGGAGAGGUGAGUAGAAUUCCUAGUGUAGAGGUGAAAUUCGUAGAUAUUAGGAAGAAUACCAGUGGCGAAGGCGGCUCACUGGACAGGUAUUGACGCUGAGGUGCGAAAGCGUGGGGAGCGAACAGG